Molecule: ribosomal RNA, 449 nt
Filed under: uncultured bacterium
Lineage: Bacteria
Description: bacterial SSU rRNA
Rfam family: Bacterial small subunit ribosomal RNA
Source: RNAcentral
AGAGUUUGAUCCUGGCUCAGAGCGAACGCUGGCGGCGUGCUUAACACAUGCAAGUCGAACGCGCAGCAUUCUGUAGCAAUACAGGGUGUGGGCGCGUGGCGAACGGGUGCGUAACACGUGGAUAACCUUCCUUCAGGUGGGGAAUAACCCAGUGAAAACUGGGCUAAUACCGCAUAACAUGACGAUGGCACAUGCUGUUGUCUUCAAAGGCGCAAGUCGCCAGAAGAGGGAUCCGCGGCCGAUUAGCUUGUUGGCGAGGUAAUGGCUCACCAAGGCAUUGAUCGGUAGCCGGACUGAGAGGUUGGCCGGCCACACUGGAACUGAGACACGGUCCAGACUCCUACGGGAGGCAGCAGUGGGGAAUCUUGCACAAUGGACGAAAGUCUGAUGCAGCAACGCCGCGUGGGGGAUGAAGCUUCUCGGAGUGUAAACCCCUUUCGACCCGGAAG